CCCUUAGAUGUCCUGGGCUGCACGCGCGCUACACUGAUGUGUCCAGUAAGCACCUAACCUAUUCCGAGAGGAGCGGGUAACCUUAGCAAAGCACAUCGUGAUGGGGAUAGAUUAUUGCAAUUAUUAGUCUUGAACGAGGAAUUCCUAGUAAGCACAAGUCAUCAGCUUGUGUUGAUUACGUCCCUGCCCUUUGUACACACCGCCCGUCGCUACUACCGAUUGAAUGGUUUAGUGAGAAUUUUGGACUGGAACUCCCUUGCUCAGCAAUGGGCGAGGGGGAGUCCGGGAAGCUAUUCUAACUGUAUCAUUUAGAGGAAGUAAAAGUCGUAACA
Molecule: ribosomal RNA, 332 nt
Filed under: uncultured eukaryote
Lineage: Eukaryota
Description: partial 18S ribosomal RNA
Rfam family: Eukaryotic small subunit ribosomal RNA
Source: RNAcentral